This 439-nucleotide ribosomal RNA is filed under the name uncultured bacterium. RNAcentral describes it as "partial 16S ribosomal RNA". It matches the Rfam family "Bacterial small subunit ribosomal RNA", at positions 339 to 795 of the family's 1533-position model. The record is from RNAcentral.
CUACGGGGCGCAGCAGUGGGGAAUAUUGCACAAUGGAGGAAACUCUGAUGCAGCAACGCCGCCUGGAGGAUGACACUUUUCGGAGCGUAAACUCCUUUUAUAUAGGAAGAAGAUGACGGUACUAUAUGAAUAAGCGCCGGCUAACUCCGUGCCAGCAGCCGCGGUAAUACGGAGGGCGCAAGCGUUGCUCGGAAUCACUGGGCGUAAAGAGCGUGUAGGCGGAUUAAAAAGUCAGAAGUGAAAUCCUAUAGCUUAACUAUAGAACUGCUUCUGAAACUCUUAAUCUAGAAUAUGGGAGAGGUAGAUGGAAUUUCUGGUGUAGGGGUAAAAUCCGUAGAGAUCAGAAGGAAUACCGAUUGCGAAGGCGAUCUACUAGAACAUUAUUGACGCUGAGACGCGAAAGCGUGGGGAGCAAACAGGAUUAGAUACCCGGGUAGUC